RNAcentral lists this ribosomal RNA (468 nucleotides) under uncultured bacterium. RNAcentral's name for it is "partial 16S ribosomal RNA". It matches the Rfam family "Bacterial small subunit ribosomal RNA", at positions 28 to 507 of the family's 1533-position model. The record is from RNAcentral.
GACGAACGCUGGCGGCGUGCUUAACACAUGCAAGUCGAACGGAAAGGCCCUGCUUUUGUGGGGUGCUCGAGUGGCGAACGGGUGAGUAACACGUGAGUAACCUGCCCUUGACUUUGGGAUAACUUCAGGAAACUGGGGCUAAUACCGGAUAGGAGCUCCUGCUGCAUGGUGGGGGUUGGAAAGUUUCGGCGGUUGGGGCUGGACUCGCGGCUUAUCAGCUUGUUGGUGGGGUAGUGGCUGACCAAGGCUUUGACGGGUAGCCGGCCUGAGAGGUUGACCGGCGACAUUGGGACUGCGAGAGGGCGCAGACGCCUACGGGAGGCAGCAGUGGGGAAUAUUGCACAAUGGGCGGAAGCCUGAGGCAGCAACGUCGCGUGCGGGAUGACGGCCUUCGGGUUGUAAACCGCUUUCGCCUGUGACGAAGCGUGAGUGACGGUAAUGGGUAAAGAAGCACCGGCUAACUACGUG